AUCGAGUUUUGAAAGGGGUUGUAGCUGGCCUUACGAGGCAUUGUGCACACCCUGCUCAAUCCACUCUACACCUGUGAACUAACUGUGGGUCUUUUGGGGGUUUGCAUCUGUUGUAAGCCUUUGGGGGCUCAUGUUUACUUUACAAACACUCAUAAAGUAAUGGAAUGUGUAUUGCGAUGUAAUGCAUCUUUAU
RNAcentral lists this unclassified non-coding RNA (193 nucleotides) under Polyporus grammocephalus. RNAcentral's name for it is "partial ITS1". Lineage: Eukaryota; Fungi; Basidiomycota; Agaricomycetes; Polyporales; Polyporaceae. The record is from RNAcentral.